UACGAGGCUAAUGCACAAACUGGACUGAGGUCGUGCUCUGAUUGUAUCUAUGGCUCCCUAGAACAAACUUUGAUGACAAGGACUAAUUAAGUGAAAUCAUAAUGGACAGAGGUGAAGCAUGU
Non-coding RNA from Sorex fumeus (smoky shrew), 122 nucleotides. RefSeq annotates it as small Cajal body-specific RNA 8. Lineage: Eukaryota; Metazoa; Chordata; Mammalia; Eulipotyphla; Soricidae. The transcript has a single exon. The record is from RefSeq and is a predicted model, not a curated record.